AAAGGGAGGCCUAAUUCAGGUAGGAGACGAAAAAAAAGUAGUCGCUACCAAGAAUCAAUCCCAAAAGGUCGGAGCGAGGCGAAAUUGGCUUUCAAACUAGGUUCUGGGUUCAAACAAGACCUGAAUCAGGAACAAGGGCUAUUAGCUCAGGUGGUUAGAGCGCACCCCUGAUAAGGGUGAGGUCCCUGGUUCGAGUCCAGGAUGGCCCACCUGUACAGGUGGCAAAAAGAAAGAAAAGAAGCGAGGAAUCAGCACCUUAUCUUACUGACAUAGUAAGAGAGAAUGCUGGCUCUGAGUAAAGAGUCCAGAGGAACCUUGAAAACUGCAUAGAGCUAGGUGAAAAAGCCAAAAAAGAAGACCGCAAG
This 365-nucleotide transfer RNA is filed under the name uncultured Microcystis sp. RNAcentral describes it as "partial 16S-23S ribosomal RNA intergenic spacer". The stretch from base 136 to 209 matches the Rfam family "tRNA". Lineage: Bacteria; Bacillati; Cyanobacteriota; Cyanophyceae; Chroococcales; Microcystaceae. The record is from RNAcentral.